This 47-nucleotide ribosomal RNA is filed under the name Bostryx solutus. RNAcentral describes it as "partial 5.8S ribosomal RNA". Lineage: Eukaryota; Metazoa; Mollusca; Gastropoda; Stylommatophora; Orthalicidae. The record is from RNAcentral.
GGCGGCCUCGGGUCCAUCCCGAGGCCACGCCCGUCUGAGGGUCGGCU